ACAACGGAACUGAAUGGGAGCUCAAGCUUCAGCUCCCAUCAGAUCCGACUUCUGACGCGGAGAGCUCUGCUCUUCUUUUGCUUCCUGUCGGUGAAAGAUUAGAAAACAGAGCAACAAGAUAACAAAAAAAUGCGUACGGAUGGAG
This is a non-coding RNA of Caenorhabditis elegans, 145 nucleotides long. Lineage: Eukaryota; Metazoa; Nematoda; Chromadorea; Rhabditida; Rhabditidae. The record is from Ensembl.